Molecule: transfer RNA, 72 nt
Filed under: Ovis aries (sheep)
Lineage: Eukaryota; Metazoa; Chordata; Mammalia; Artiodactyla; Bovidae
Rfam family: tRNA
About the family: Transfer RNA (tRNA) molecules are approximately 80 nucleotides in length. Their secondary structure includes four short double-helical elements and three loops (D, anti-codon, and T loops).
Source: Rfam by way of RNAcentral
UCCUGGGUGGCUCAGUGGUAAAGAAUCUGCCUGCCAGUGCAGGAGACGCAGGUUUGAUCCCUGAUCCAGGAA